GGACGGGUGAGUAACACGUGGAAACAUGCCCUUUACUGUGGGAUAGUCACUGGAAACGGUGGAUAAUACCACAUACGCCCUACGGGGGAAAGAUUUAUCGGUAAAGGAUUGGUCCGUCGUUGGAUUAGGUUGUUGGUGGGGUAAUGGUCUACCAAGCCGACGAUCCAUAGCUGGUCUGAGAGGACGAUCAGCCACACUGGGACUGAGAUACGGCCCAGACUCCUACGGGAGGCAGCAGUGAGGAAUAUUAGACAAUGGGGGAAACCCUGAUCUAGCCAUGCCGCGUGAUUGAUGAAGGCCUUAGGGUUGUAAAAAUCUUUCGCUAGGGAUGAUAAUGACAGUACCUAGUAAAGAAGCCCCGGCUAACUCCGUGCCAGCAGCCGCGGUAAUACGGAGGGGGCUAGCGUUGUUCGGAAUUACUGGGCGUAAAGCGCGCGUAGGCUGAUUACUCAGUCAGGGGUGAAAUCCCGGAGCUCAACUCCGGAACUGCCCUUGAUACUGGUAAUCUAGAGGUCGAGAGAGGUGGGUGGAAUUCCGAG
RNAcentral lists this ribosomal RNA (539 nucleotides) under uncultured bacterium. RNAcentral's name for it is "bacterial SSU rRNA". It matches the Rfam family "Bacterial small subunit ribosomal RNA", at positions 100 to 673 of the family's 1533-position model. The record is from RNAcentral.